AUCUGGAGCCCGCACGGAGAAUGUGACGUGAUGUCCUAUGGAAUGCCCUAUUGUGUUACACAUGUGGAGUGUGCUAGCUUAUGUUAUAGGUGGAGGAACGGCCAUGUCUUUCCACAUGGCAUACAGUCAUGCCCUUGUGUACUAUCAGGCGAUCAGCCAGUAGUUUGCCUUAGGAGGUACCAAGGCUGUCUAGCACCUAUAGCGGGGAGCCAUAUGGUUCUAGUAUAAUACAGAACCAUCUGAGUUAUGAUCCCAUGUGUUUAGUACGUAUUGAGUACCCCUUGGUCUGUAUUGCUUGGGUGGUAAAGAGGGCCCUUUUGGAACUAUGAGGUAAGGGUUUGCCUUUGUCGCUGCAGGCCAUGUAGUGUAUGUAGACUGUGCAGUGCAGUUUAGGUCCGUCUGGGUGCUAAGUAAGCAUGCUUCACGUCUUAAGCGGACUUUUGGUUCAGGUAAUGCUAAGUCAUAUUACUUGUAUGGUAGGGACCCAUAGGAUCAGGCUAAGCUAUGCAGCGAGGGUUAAUGGCAUGGUAUGCUCAGGGUGUUGGAACAAGG
Pelobates cultripes (western spadefoot toad) is the source of this 552-nucleotide non-coding RNA. NCBI's taxonomy places the organism in Eukaryota, Metazoa, Chordata, Amphibia, Anura, Pelobatidae. The record is from the annotation of a GenBank genome assembly.